ACAUGCCUACAACAUAACACUAAUGCAUUAGAUCCCAUUACAACUCCAUAGUUAAGCACACUCAAUCUAGAGUAGUACUAGGAUGGGUGACUGCAUGGGGAUUCCUAGUGUUUUACAUGCC
Non-coding RNA from Picea glauca (white spruce), 121 nucleotides. NCBI's taxonomy places the organism in Eukaryota, Viridiplantae, Streptophyta, Pinopsida, Pinales, Pinaceae. The record is from Rfam.